This 378-nucleotide unclassified non-coding RNA is filed under the name plant metagenome. RNAcentral's name for it is "partial contains 5.8S ribosomal RNA, internal transcribed spacer 2, and large subunit ribosomal RNA". The stretch from base 1 to 105 matches the Rfam family "5.8S ribosomal RNA", at positions 50 to 154 of the family's 154-position model. The record is from RNAcentral.
GAAAUGCGAUAAGUAAUGUGAAUUGCAGAAUUCAGUGAAUCAUCGAAUCUUUGAACGCACCUUGCGCUCCUUGGUAUUCCUUGGUGCAUGCCUGUUUGAGUAUCAUGAAAUCUUCAAAGUAAAUCUUUUGUUAACUCAAUUGGUUUCUACUUUGGUAUUGGAGGUCUUUGCAGCUUCACACCUGCUCCUCUUUGUUCAUUAGCUGGAUCUCAGUGUUAUGCUUGGUUCCACUCGGCGUGAUAAGUUAUCUAUCGCUGAGGACACUGUAAAAGGUGGCCAAGGUAAAUGCAGAUGAGCCGCUUCUAAUAGUCCAUUGACUUGGACAAUACUUUUAUGAUCUGAUCUCAAAUCAGGUAGGACUACCCGCUGAACUUAAGC